Picea glauca (white spruce) is the source of this 119-nucleotide non-coding RNA. The record is from Rfam. NCBI's taxonomy places the organism in Eukaryota, Viridiplantae, Streptophyta, Pinopsida, Pinales, Pinaceae.
GGGUGUGAUCAUACCGGUGUUAAUGCACUGGAUACCAUCAAAGCUCUGUAGUUAAGCGUGCUUGGGCUAGAGUAGUACUAGGAUGGGUGAGCUCCCGAGAAGUCCUAGUGUUGCACCCU